GUAUUUAUUAGAUAAAAAACCAACGCCCUUCUGGGCUUUUUGGUGAUUCAUGAUAACUUUACGGAUCGCAUACCCUUGCGCUGGCGACGGUUCAUUCACAUUUCUGCCCUAUCAACUUUCGAUGGUAAUGUAUUGGCUUACCAUGGUUUCAACGGGUAACGGGGAAUUAUGGUUCGAUUCCGGAGAGGGAGCCUGACAAACUGCUACCACAUCCAAGGAAGGCAGCAUGCGCGCACAUUACCCAAUCCCGACACGGGGAGGUAGUGACAAUAAAUACUGAUACAGGGCUCUUUUGGGUCUUGUAAUUGGAAUGAGUACAAUUUAAACCUCUUAACGAGGAACAAUUGGAGGGCAAGUCUGGUGCCAUCAGCCGCGGUAAUUCCAGCUCCAAUAGCGUAUAUUAAAGUUGUUGCAGUUAAAAAGCUCGUAGUUGAAACUUGGGCCUGGCUGGCGGGUCCGCCUCACCGCGUGCACUCGUCCGGCCGGGCCUUCCUUCUGAAGAACCUCAUGCCCUUCACUGGGCGUGCUGGAGAACCAGG
Molecule: ribosomal RNA, 539 nt
Filed under: uncultured eukaryote
Lineage: Eukaryota
Description: SSU rRNA
Rfam family: Eukaryotic small subunit ribosomal RNA
Source: RNAcentral